GAGUUUUAAACUCGGCUCAGGAUGAACGCUGGCGGCGUGCAUAAUACAUGCAAGUCGAGCGAACGGACGAGAAGCUUGCUUCUCUGAUGUUAGCGGCGGACGGGUGAGUAACACGUGGAUAACCUACCUAUAAGACUGGGAUAACUUCGGGAAACCGGAGCUAAUACCGGAUAAUAUUUUGAACCGCAUGGUUCAAAAGUGAAAGACGGUCUUGCUGUCACUUAUAGAUGGAUCCGCGCUGCAUUAGCUAGUUGGUAAGGUAACGGCUUACCAAGGCAACGAUGCAUAGCCGACCUGAGAGGGUGAUCGGCCACACUGGAACUGAGACACGGUCCAGACUCCUACGGGAGGCAGCAGUAGGGAAUCUUCCGCAAUGGGCGAAAGCCUGACGGAGCAACGCCGCGUGAGUGAUGAAGGUCUUCGGAUCGUAAAACUCUGUUAUUAGGGAAGAACAUAUGUGUAAGUAACUGUGCACAUCUUGACGGUACCUAAUCAGAAAGCCACGGCUAACUACGUGCCAGCAGCCGCGGUAAUACGUAGGUGGCAAGCGUUAUCCGGAAUUAUUGGGCGUAAAGCGCGCGUAGGCGGUUUUUUAAGUCUGAUGUGAAAGCCCACGGCUCAACCGUGGAGGGUCAUUGGAAACUGGAAAACUUGAGUGCAGAAGAGGAAAGUGGAAUUCCAUGUGUAGCGGUGAAAUGCGCAGAGAUAUGGAGGAACACCAGUGGCGAAGGCGACUUUCUGGUCUGUAACUGACGCUGAU
Molecule: ribosomal RNA, 760 nt
Filed under: Staphylococcus aureus
Lineage: Bacteria; Bacillati; Bacillota; Bacilli; Caryophanales; Staphylococcaceae
Description: bacterial SSU rRNA
Rfam family: Bacterial small subunit ribosomal RNA
Source: RNAcentral